RNAcentral lists this unclassified non-coding RNA (378 nucleotides) under plant metagenome. RNAcentral describes it as "partial contains 5.8S ribosomal RNA, internal transcribed spacer 2, and large subunit ribosomal RNA". The stretch from base 1 to 105 matches the Rfam family "5.8S ribosomal RNA", at positions 50 to 154 of the family's 154-position model. The record is from RNAcentral.
GAAAUGCGAUAAGUAAUGUGAAUUGCAGAAUUCAGUGAAUCAUCGAAUCUUUGAACGCACCUUGCGCUCCUUGGUAUUCCUUGGAGCAUGCCUGUUUGAGUAUCAUGAAAUCUUCAAAGUAAAUCUUUUGUUAACUCAAUUGGUUUCUACUUUGGUAUUGGAGGUCUUUGCAGCUUCACACCUGCUCCUCUUUGUUCAUUAGCUGGAUCUCAGUGUUAUGCUUGGUUCCACUCGGCGUGAUAAGUUAUCUAUCGCUGAGGACACUGUAAAAGGUGGCCAAGGUAAAUGCAGAUGAACCGCUUCUAAUAGUCCAUUGACUUGGACAAUACUUUUAUGAUCUGAUCUCAAAUCAGGUAGGACUACCCGCUGACCUUAAGC